GUCCCGGUAUUUGGAGGUUCGAAUCCUUCCGUCCCAG
RNAcentral lists this transfer RNA (37 nucleotides) under Zieria alata. RNAcentral describes it as "partial tRNA-Gln". Lineage: Eukaryota; Viridiplantae; Streptophyta; Magnoliopsida; Sapindales; Rutaceae. The record is from RNAcentral.